CUGGAUCUCGCCCAGGCCCGGGCCCUGCAGUCGUGGCCCUGGUUCAAGGGUCUGCCCCAGCGGGUCAACCUGCCCGCCCCCCGGGUACUCUGCAGACCUUCCGCCCUGCGCUGGGUCAAGCGGUGCUGUACCCGCUCCUGCUCAGCAUCGCUGGAGAAGCCGAGAUCCUCUCGGACCCAACGCUACGGCUACGGCCCCGACUCCUCCUUUCGAAAAUGAACUGAAGCCGCUGAAAGAAGACAGCAGUGAGCGGGAUGGAAAAGACUUAAUUCUACUAAUUAAUCUCCCAUAUAAAGGUUCUUGGGGACCCCGCCAGGA
Long non-coding RNA from Ornithorhynchus anatinus (platypus), 318 nucleotides. RefSeq lists it as uncharacterized. The transcript has 2 exons. The record is from RefSeq and is a predicted model, not a curated record. Lineage: Eukaryota; Metazoa; Chordata; Mammalia; Monotremata; Ornithorhynchidae.